Molecule: transfer RNA, 102 nt
Filed under: Biscogniauxia mediterranea
Lineage: Eukaryota; Fungi; Ascomycota; Sordariomycetes; Xylariales; Xylariaceae
Description: tRNA-Leu
Rfam family: tRNA
About the family: Transfer RNA (tRNA) molecules are approximately 80 nucleotides in length. Their secondary structure includes four short double-helical elements and three loops (D, anti-codon, and T loops).
Source: RNAcentral
GGUGAGAUGGCCGAGUUGGUUAUGGCGUAUGGUUAAGGCUAACCCUUAGCAACUAAUUUCCAUAUGGAGCAAUCCGCGUGGGUUCAAGUCCCACUCUCAUCA